CCUUGAUGGCGACCGGCGCACGGGUGGGUAACACGUAUCCAACCUGCCGAUGACUCGGGGAUAGCCUUUCGAAAGAAAGAUUAAUACCCGAUGGCAUAGUUCUUCCGCAUGGUAGAACUAUUAAAGAAUUUCGGUCAUCGAUGGGGAUGCGUUCCAUUAGGUUGUUGGCGGGGUAACGGCCCACCAAGCCUUCGAUGGAUAGGGGUUCUGAGAGGAAGGUCCCCCACAUUGGAACUGAGACACGGUCCAA
This 250-nucleotide ribosomal RNA is filed under the name uncultured bacterium. Its description in RNAcentral is "partial 16S ribosomal RNA". It matches the Rfam family "Bacterial small subunit ribosomal RNA", at positions 83 to 334 of the family's 1533-position model. The record is from RNAcentral.